AUACGGAGGAUCCGAGCGUUAUCCGGAUUUAUGGGUUUAAAGGGUGCGUAGCGGGAUAAUAAGUCAGUGGUGAAAGUUUGCAGCUUAACUGUAAAAUUGCCGUUGAAACUGUUAUUCUUGAGUGUAAAUGAGGUAGGCGGAAUGUGUUGUGUAGCGGUGAAAUGCUUAGAUAUAACACAGAACACCAAUUGCGAAGGCAGCUUACUGGGAUACAACUGACGCUGAGGCACGAAAGCGUGGGGAUC
This 245-nucleotide ribosomal RNA is filed under the name uncultured bacterium. Its description in RNAcentral is "partial 16S ribosomal RNA". It matches the Rfam family "Bacterial small subunit ribosomal RNA", at positions 523 to 769 of the family's 1533-position model. The record is from RNAcentral.